Molecule: unclassified non-coding RNA, 241 nt
Filed under: fungal sp.
Lineage: Eukaryota; Fungi
Description: partial internal transcribed spacer region
Rfam family: Eukaryotic small subunit ribosomal RNA (bases 1-46)
Source: RNAcentral
AAGUCGUAACAAGGUUUCCGUAGGUGAACCUGCGGAAGGAUCAUUAGCAAUUGUAACGGCACUGUGCGCAAGCACUUUGCCCAAUACAAAUACCCCUUGUGAACCGUCUUGUCACUGUUUGGCCACUUUGCGGUGGUCAAGCAAACCAAAAACAAACUUGUUGAAACAUUCAUGACUGAAUCGCGUAUGAACACACAAAGUAAUACACAUACAACUUUUAACAAUGGAUCUCUUGGUUCCU